This is a long non-coding RNA of Chenopodium quinoa (quinoa), 3362 nucleotides long. RefSeq lists it as uncharacterized. NCBI's taxonomy places the organism in Eukaryota, Viridiplantae, Streptophyta, Magnoliopsida, Caryophyllales, Amaranthaceae. The record is from RefSeq and is a predicted model, not a curated record. The transcript has 4 exons.
CAGUCAAGGUAAAAACGCCACCCUGGAUGGCAUUUUUGCCUUGACUGAAUAUUAAAAAAAAAAAUGCAUAGGAUAAAAACGUCAGUCUAGUUGACGUUUUACCCUGAAAGCUUAGUUUGGUAAAUAAUCUUGCCACACGUAUACUUUGGGAAAUUGUUUCCCUUAGGGACUUACUUUGGUAAAUUUUCCCGUUAAAAAGACCACUUCUUUCCUCUUUACACUACUCCCUCACUCUCUCACUCUCUCUCCCUCGCCGGAAAAUGGCGAAAUCGAACGACCCAACAUCACCUCCGCCGCCAACUCCGCCGCCGGCAAUAGGCAAGAUCGGACCAUAGACCGUCUUUCUGACUCCUCCUCCGACCCCUAAACCCACUUCCGAAGCUCCUCCCGCCGUCAUUUCACAACCCCACAAAAAUAUCGCCGUCAAUUCUCCGCCGCCGGUUCAGCCGCCACCGGCCAAGUUCGAACCUGCCGGUGACCGCUUCGCUUUCUUCUGGGAAGCCAUUGCUAAAGCUCAAAACGUUCAUGCGAGUGUAGAUGAGUACGUGGCGAAUUGGUUGGGAUUGGAUCAAUCGAGAUAUCAAUGGGCAUUGAAUGAUUAUUAUGAAUCUAAAGGAAUGGUAUGUUUUUUUUUUUCUUCUUUGAUUUAAUUUUUUGAGAUUUUUAUGCAAUAUCCUGAUGUUUUAUUUCAAUGUUCAUAGAAAUUUUCAUGCAUGUGUUAGAAAUUGUAGUGAAAUCGCGGCGUUAUUGUGUUUUGAAGGAAAAUGAACUUGGUUGUAAUCAAUUGUCCCAGAAUUGCCCAUUUCUUAGCUUUACUUGUAGAUUUAAUCUUGUAGUAUGAAUGUAUGAUUUGUUGUGGGUUUAGAAUGUGUCACACAGAAGUAAAGUGAUUCCUCUUUGUGGAUUUGAGUAAAUUGGAUAUGUUUUCGAUUGAUAGUUGCUAUUUCUUUGGGGGUGUUCUGGAUCUUUGCCUGAUUUAUAGUCCUUAACUGGGUAUUUUGUGUGGAAUCAGAAAUGGACUCGGGUAUAGGUGUGAUACAGACACAUAAAUAAAACAGUGAAAUUUAAAAAGAUUUUACUAUAUAGUAUAUGCAAUGGUCUUUGUUCGAGUAUGAAUGAGGUGCACAAUAUCUUCUACAAGUGUCCAUAGAGGAAAAAUUGCGUGAGGUUCGUGGUGUGCCAUGAAAUGGCCAUGUCCUGUCUCUUUGCCUAUAGAAAAUUGCCGUCUCAUUAAAACUAUGUCAAAUAUCAAAGGGCUGUUAUGCAUAAAGGCAUUGCAUUUAGUUGGAUCUUUACAAGGUCUUCUUUGUUGCUGCUGAUUGUGACAGGUUCUCUUUGUGACUUAUUUGAGCUUUAGCAGGUUUUGCAGAGAAAGUAUAGCUUCCAAGAUAACCAUUAGAAAGACUGGUGUUUGUACUUCAUCCAUUAUAGGAAAUUUGGAAUUUGUAUCUUGUACAGUUGUACGUAGUCUUUUUUUGGUUUACCUUGUUGAGAAUUGAUAUUUAUUUCAAGCCCGAUAGCUUGGUAUUGGUGUUAUCUAUAUAGAGGUAUAUUAUUUGUGCAAAGAAUACACCUAGGGAUUGUCAUAAUUUCACCCACCUUGAAACUAAGAAAUGUUGACCUUAAAGGGAGUUAAUAUCCUGCGUGCACAAAUCCAUAUACUCAAAUCCCUGGUUCUUUAGUCAAAGCCUUUUUUUGUUAGGUAUAGGUAGCCUUGGGAACUUCAAGUCCGUUCAAAGCUGAGAAGGUGACUAGUGACCAAUGUCCAUGAGACUUGAUUCCUUGUGUAAAACAUAUCUUAUAUGAUUGUGGAAGUAAUUUACUUAUUGUGUGUGUGUUUGUUGGGGGUAGGGAGGGGGGUAUGGCACACCUGCACUUACAUAUUUACUCUAUCAAGUAGUUGAAAUGUUGAAUAACAAAUUGUUUCCAAGGGGACAUUUCUUUCUAGACUGAUGAGAUUAAAAUCAUUGUUGAGGACUUCUACAUUUUCCUCCUAUACUGUUUCUGCUACUAAAGUAUGAUAAGGAUAUUAUUGUCUUGGGAAUAAGCUCUUUAAUUCAAUAAGUGUUGGUGGCUUCAAUUGACCUGUAGAAUGCAGGAUAGAUUAGUCUUAGGCUAACUUGAUAAUGAGGAACAGAUGUUGGACUCAAUUAAUAUAGUUUAUCUCAAUGCCCAACUUGACUUGCCUUUUUAGCUGUUAACAACUGCUUCAAGCCUUGAAGGGCUCGCUGUCAUUAUGUUAAUAAAAAAAAUGUGGCUUGGGGGUAUGUUAACGAAUUGGUUCACGACAGAAACGAGACUUCAUAAAUUUAGGGACUUGAGAAUGGAACAAAGGGCAGGGAGACUCGUCCGUCUCCCAAAGAGAGAUGCGGCGGUGGUGAAGAGACAAUUAUCUCACUUGCAAACAUAUCUGGGUGGGAUCAAAUAUAUGACAGGAUUACCGGAUAUUGUAAUUGUCGUCGAUCAACACGAAGAAUAUACAACCCUUCGAGAAUGUAUUACUUUUGGAAUUCCAACGAUUUGUUUAAUCGAUACAAAUUGUGACCCGGAUCUCGCUGAUAUUCGGAUUCCUGCAAACGAUGGCGCUAUAGCUUGAAUGCGAUUCAUUCUUACCAAAAAAGGCUGAGCUUAGGUGCUAAAUAAGUAAGAUAAGAAGAGUAGCUUUCACCUACCUGGAGAGUUAACUGCCAAGAAGGAAGAACUCAUUUUUUUCUUCUUCACCGCUAACUAUUCGUUCAGAGUCGGCAAGAGUUGAAAUAAUCCCAGGAGAGUUUUCAAGUAGUCAAGGAAGAAAGACAGUCCGAAAUCGCAUCGGGUAAGGGCUCAUGGGGUGGGCUCUAGAUACAUGAUGUUAUGUUUGAGGCCCAGUUAAGGCUCAUUCUAGUCAAUAAUCCGGAUGUUUUGCCACUUUUUAUGUCAUUGGUUUGCAGAGUUUUUAUCAUGAAAACAAAUUUGGGAGGGAACGCACAGGCUGACUAUGAGAAAUUGUGGAUGAGGGAGAUGUUCUGACGAAAGAAGUUUCAAGCAAGAGACCAACUGUUUAAACUUGUGAUGUAUUUCAGGAAUCAUAUAUAGAAUGCGGGUUUGUACACCCUUUCAAUUGUAAUAUAUACUUGGUACAGAUGGUAUUGGUUGAAUCUGACGGAGUCGUGUCUAAAAUGAAGGUUUACGGCUUUAUCCUGCAUAAUAUCUCAUGUAAAUGCAGGGAGUGGUGAUUCCUCAAGUGAUAAAUCUGCCUGUAUCAGUCUUUGGUCACCAUGUAUUCUUUUUGUAUCUUUUAGAUUUGCUGUAAUCAUCAUGUUCUCUCCAAGUUAUUGCUUACAUUCAUAUUAUCAUCUAAAUAUGUAACUGUUUCUUGGUUA